Long non-coding RNA from Mya arenaria, 266 nucleotides. RefSeq lists it as uncharacterized. The record is from RefSeq and is a predicted model, not a curated record. Lineage: Eukaryota; Metazoa; Mollusca; Bivalvia; Myida; Myidae. The transcript has 3 exons.
CUUUGUGGUUGAAAUCGUUUGCAAUUUGUUGUGUUUGCGGGUAUCUAGAAUUUUAGUGUUUUCGUCAGUGUUGUGAACUUGGAUAUAAAUUGUCCGCUAAAAUUUGUCAUCUUCUGUUUCAGAACAUCUGCCAAUUUCAUAGUGAAAAUAAGGACACAGACCUGGAACAACAACAACUGGAGAAUGAUACUUAGUUUGCUGAUCUUGGUACCAAUGGUGGCUUGUUUGGCUCCUGUUGUAGCUGCUGCUCCCGCUUUACUUCAUCC